Molecule: unclassified non-coding RNA, 475 nt
Filed under: Hevea brasiliensis (rubber tree)
Lineage: Eukaryota; Viridiplantae; Streptophyta; Magnoliopsida; Malpighiales; Euphorbiaceae
Source: RNAcentral
GAAGGGAUGGAUCAACGCCUCCAGCUGCAAGGAAAAUAAAGAAAUUGAUGAAAAUCAGUAGAAAAAAGGAAGCACGAUCACAAUGAACAGCAUAUAAUGAAGUCUAAUGGAGACCUCACAGCUCAUCAGACCAUCCUACUAGAAACAUCAAAUCUCAAUUACGACUAUCAGGCUUAAGAUAGGAUUCACAUAUGUCUCACAAAAUUACACAUCAGAGAUGGGAUCUCUGUAGGAUAAAUCACAAUUAAGGUCUAACAAGCCUUAAAUAUUACUGAUGAAAAGCAGUGAUAGAAGUACUUGAAGAACUAAACAGUAAUCACAGGCAUGACAGACACAGAUGAGCAUCCAUCUACAACAUACAGUGUUGAGAGAAAUAUUAGCUUAAAUGAAGGUAGGAAGCUUUCAACAGAUAAUUCAAGCUUGGGCAACUAUGAAGGAAAUUUUGUCUUACAGCUGUACUUCGAAGAUUUGGAGA